UACAUAGGGUGCAAGCGUUGUCCGGAAUUAUUGGGCGUAAAGAGCUCGUAGGUUGUUUGUCGCGUCGAUUGUGAAAAUCUGAGGCUCAACCUCAGACCUGCAGUCGAUACGGGCAAACUAGAGUGUGGUAGGGGAGACUGGAAUUCCUGGUGUAGCGGUGGAAUGCGCAGAUAUCAGGAGGAACACCAAUGGCGAAGGCAGGUCUCUGGGCCAUAACUGACACUGAGGAGCGAAAGUGCGGGGAGCGAACAGGAUUAGAUACCCUGGUAGUCCGCACCGUAAACGGUGGGCACUAGUUGUGGGAACCUUCCACGGUUUCCGCGACGCAGCAAACGCAUUAAGUGCCCCGCCUGGGGAGUACGAUCGCAAGAUUAAAACUCAAAGGAAUUGACGGGGCCCCGCACAAGCAGCGGAGCAUGCGGCUUAAUUCGACGCAACGCGAAGAACCUUACCAAGGCUUGACAUAUAGCGAAAAGUGGCAGAGAUGUCAUGUCCGCAAGGGCGCUAUACAGGUGGUGCAUGGUUGUCGUCAGCUCGUGUCGUGAGAUGUUGGGUUAAGUCCCGCAACGAGCGCAACCCUCGUUCUGUGUUACCAGCAUUCAGUUGGGGACUCACAGGAGACUGCCGGGGUCAACUCGGAGGAAGGUGGGGAUGACGUCAAAUCAUCAUGCCCCUUAUGUCUUGGGCUGCACGCAUGCUACAAUGGCCGGUACAAAGUGCUGCGAGAUCGUAAGAUUGAGCGAAUCACAUAAAGCCGGUCUCAGUUCGGAUUGAGGUCUGCAACUCGACCUCAUGAAGUCGGAGUUGCUAGUAAUCGUAGAUCAGCAACGCUACGGUGAAUACGUUCCCGGGGCU
RNAcentral lists this ribosomal RNA (855 nucleotides) under uncultured bacterium. RNAcentral's name for it is "SSU rRNA". It matches the Rfam family "Bacterial small subunit ribosomal RNA", at positions 524 to 1381 of the family's 1533-position model. The record is from RNAcentral.